Molecule: ribosomal RNA, 465 nt
Filed under: uncultured bacterium
Lineage: Bacteria
Description: partial 16S ribosomal RNA
Rfam family: Bacterial small subunit ribosomal RNA
Source: RNAcentral
GACGAACGCUGGCGGCGUGCUUAACACAUGCAAGUCGAACGGAAAGGCCCCUUUGGGGGUACUCGAGUGGCGAACGGGUGAGUAACACUUGAGUAACCUGCCCUUGACUUCGGGAUAACUUCAGGAAACUGGGGCUAAUACCGGAUAGGAAUCCUUGCUGCAUGGUGGGGGUUGGAAAGCUUCGGCGGUUUUGGAUGGACUCGCGGCUUAUCAGCUUGUUGGUGGGGUAGUGGCUUACCAAGGCUUUGACGGGUAGCCGGCCUGAGAGGGCGACCGGCCACAUUGGGACUGAGAUACGGCCCAGACUCCUACGGGAGGCAGCAGUGGGGAAUAUUGCACAAUGGGCGGAAGCCUGAUGCAGCAACGCCGCGUGCGGGAUGACGGCCUUCGGGUUGUAAACCGCUUUCAGCAGGGGCGAAGCUUGUGGUGACGGUACCUGCAGAAGAAGCACCGGCUAACUACGUG